GGCGGAAGUAUCUGGCUGUCGAGUAACCAGGUUCUAGAUACUUUCAAAACGUACUUCGCUUGCGGGGUUUUUAUUGGAAUUAUCAACAUUGUCGCUGGAAUUAUCCUGAUUACCGCCCUGAUACAGGGUAAAGAAAACGUCGUUCUACUAUAUCUCCUUAUAGAGUUCGUCAUCUUAUUCACUCUAACGAUAUUCACGGCCAUGAACAAUUUGGAUUUUGAGAAUUUUUCGCCGACGUUUCUGGUAGCUUUCUUCCUUUGUAUAUCUCUUUGGAUCGGAUAUUACAACGUUUACCUUUUUUACUUGGAAUUACAAAAAUAUAAUAACAGUUCCGUCCAAGCUGGUGUGGAAGAAAUCGCUUGUAAUACUCACCCUAACCCUAUGGAGUCAUUCCCUGAAAAAUCUUUGGACACCACGACAGUAUAGAAGAAGAAGAAGAAGACGAGAGUCUAUGUAGUAUGGUAUUAACUACGUUAAGGCUUAUGCGCAUGUUUAAAUUAUUAAGUGUUUAGCGAAUAAAAUGCAACGUUGCCAAUAUAUUUUCAACUAAUGUGCCUAUACAGGGUGUUCGAAAAAUAGACGGAAAUACUUCAAUGGGUGAUUCCUUGUAAAAAAAAAUAUGAGAUAAAGUUUCUAUAAACAUGGGUCCGGAAAUGCACAGUUUUCAAGAUACAGGGUGAUAAUUUUUUUUUUUUAAUAUUAAAUUUAAAAAAAUAUUUACUCGAUUCUUUUCAAAUUUGGCAGUAUUACUUGUUGUAUUAAGAGGCUAAUUUAGCCCUAAUUAGAUUGAAAUUAUAAGGUCCAGUGGCGUCUCGGGGGACAUCUUAGCAAAUAUUAUUGGCAAAAAAAUGUACACCACUGCAACUUUAAUAUUUGCAACUUUUUGGCCUCUUGUAUUUUUUUCGUAUCUCACUUCGUUUUCGACAAAAAAAAAUAAAUACCGUUUUAUUGCAUGCCACUGGACAUAAUUGGU
Molecule: long non-coding RNA, 973 nt
Organism: Anthonomus grandis grandis
Lineage: Eukaryota; Metazoa; Arthropoda; Insecta; Coleoptera; Curculionidae
Exons: 3
Source: RefSeq, a predicted model, not a curated record